RNAcentral lists this long non-coding RNA (2936 nucleotides) under Arabidopsis lyrata. Its description in RNAcentral is "long non-coding RNA (ALYR_LNC000770)". Lineage: Eukaryota; Viridiplantae; Streptophyta; Magnoliopsida; Brassicales; Brassicaceae. The record is from RNAcentral.
AUCUCGUGGCACUACCUUCAAGCAUUUGCGGAUUGACCUCUCUUAGCUGCUUAAGCAUAACAAAUUGUCCACGCCUCGGUGAAUUGCCCAAGAACCUCGGUAAGCUACAAGCUCUCGAAAUCUUAAGGCUAUAUGCUUGCCCUGAGCUAAAGACAUUAACUGGAGAAAUCUGUGAGCUUCUUCGGCUUAAGUACCUCGAUAUCUCACAAUGCGUUAGCCUGAGUUGUCUUCCAGAGGAAAUAGGAAAGCUAAAGAAGCUUGAGAAGAUUGACAUGAGAGAAUGUUGUUUUUCGGGUAGACCGAGCUCCGCUGUUUCAUUGAAGUCUCUACGCCAUGUAAUAUGUGAUACAGACGUUGCAUUUAUGUGGGAAGAAGUUGAGAAGGCUGUUCCAGGAUUAAAGAUAGAAGCUGCUGAGAAAUGCUUCAGCCUAGAUUGGCUUGACGAGUAGAUCCUAAACCCAAAAAGUUGUUUGUAUAAAAAGUGUAAACUCAUUGUUUAGAGUCUGUUAAGUUAAAAAAAAGCUUGUAUAGAACUCUUUCUACUCUGUUUUCUCAUUUCUAAGUUCAAUAAAGGAUAAACCUUUCACAACAAACUUCUACUCUCUCAUUUCUGUCAAUCGUAACAAUCUACAUGAAAGCUUGAAAACCAAUUUUCUUAACAAUUAAUCAAUCCGGAAAUUGAAAAGAUUUGUGUAACAAAGCAGAUUCUGUUCCAAAUUCCUCGACAAAGAUGCCAAAAUAAAGAAUAUAAGAAAAGAGAUUUCUUUGUAAUUCUGUAUUGUAACAUAAUAAAUUAGGCUUUGUAAAGUGAGACUAAUCAUCCCGUUGGCCUCAACAUGUUUUGAUCAAAUCGAAGCUUUUUUAAACUGCUCGGUCUUUUCCUUUUGCCUCGUGCAGGUUUCUUCUUAAUUCGGACCAAACUUGGAACAUCUCACAGUUUUUGACAGGUUCUCCUAGAUCCAAUCCUCUAAAAUAUCCUGCCUCUCCAAUAACGUUAAAUCCUCUAAAGGAACCCUUGAAAGAAUCUCCUCUAUCAAAUCCGUUGGAAGAUCUGAAAUUUGUUUCCAAAGUAGAAAGUGAAAAUAUAAAACCCCAACAUAAUCAUAAUGGUGCAACCAAAAUAUCCAGCGGCAAAAGCUAACAAGACUGAAAGUUGACUGCUUGUCCCAUACAAGUUUCAAGGUCGCUGAAUUAGGGAUUAGGGUUUCUCUUGUUGCUUUCCCACCAAGGCAGGUUUCUCAUUUCUCAGUGAUACUUGUGAGCCCAAUGCAAAUCAUCUUGUUAAAACAUUCUUCUUAGGCUUAAUCGUCAAAAUUACCGACAUUGAGAGCACAACAGGCCUCGAGGCCCACUAGUAUAAAGAGGCCCAACUGGUUCCGUUAAUCUUCGGAUAAAUUUGAUCGAAGCAAAGACAGAUACCCUACCUAGUUCCUCCCAAUUCGAUGUUGCGAAACGCGGUGAAAUUGUUGCAUAGGGGGAAUCCCGUGAGUGAGAAAGGUCUGUCUUUUUUUUUGUUUUGUUUCUGAUGCAUAUAUUAGUGUGAUCCUUGUGAUUUGAUCCUUGACGAUUGCGGUUUUCUAUCAUCUGGCGAUUGGUGGUUUUGGAUUCGGGGCAGGUAUGUGAAUACUUUCUUGUCAACAGCCCUUUCUCUGUCUUAAUUUUUUAGCAGUAGUUGAGAGAUGUUUAAGACAAAAAAAAUGAUUGCUUUCGCUGCUCAGGUGCUCUGUCAACAAAUCACUUGGAUCAGAAACUUGGAUUCGGGGCAGGUAUCAUAGUAUAUCGCAGUGACUUGGAUCCGGACAACCAUUCCACCUGUUUCUUCUUCUUCUUGUUCCAGGAAGUCGUGAGACUGAGAGAAGAGCUGGAUGAGGCUAUUCUGCCGAGGUUGCCCGAGGAGCUACGAAGGAUCGAAAAAUAAUGAAAAUUUUCAAUUUUGUGUGUGUAAUUCGGUGAUAUGUUUUGCACGCAUUACCUCUUUGGUGUCAAUCUGUUUUUCUUAACCUGCUUGGAUACUGUUGUUGUAAUUUGCUUGGUCUUCUUACUUAGUGUUGAACCAACUUUCUGCAUUAUUAUUUCUUCCUCUCCCUUACGCGACUCUGUUGUGCUUACUUCUUAAUAUGCCCUUUGCUCUUCAUGACAAGCUUAGUCCUAUUUAUACCUUCCCAUAUUCAAGCUUAUGCAUACAUGUUCAAAAAGCAAGACAUAGCAUCCUGUGUUAUCGUGCUCCAUCUUAAUGAUCUUCUUCUGCUGCAAAUCCAGCUAUGGUUAACCAGUAAUUUAAUUUAACCACAACAUGUCUUUGAUUCUGUGCAAGAUCAAUAAAAGUUUUGAUCAAACCGGAGUUGACGUGGCCGAUAUCUUCUCAAAAUUGGGGGAUCUGACGAUAGAUCACUGUGAUGAUCUCGUGCAUUUGCGGAUUGACCUCUCUUAGCUGCUUAAGCAUAAAAAAUUGUCCACGCCUCGGUGAAUUGCCCAAGAACCUCAGUACAAGCUCUCGAAAUCUUAAGGCUGUAUGCUUGCCCUGAGCUAAAGACAUUAAGUGGAGAAAUCUGUGAGCUUCCUGGGCUUAAGUACCUAGACAUCUCACAAUGUGUUAGCCUGAGUUGUCUUCCAGAGGAAAUAGGAAAGCUAAAGAAGCUUGAGAAGAUCGACAUGAGAGAAUGUUGUUUCGGGUAGACCGAGCUCUGCUAAUUCACUGAAAUCUCUGCGCCAUGUAAUAUGCGAUACCGACGUUGCAUUUAUGUGGGACGAAGUUAAGAAGGUCGUUCCAGGACUAAAGAUUGAAGCUGCUGAGAAAUGCUUCAGCCUAGAUUGGCUUGACGAGUAGAUCCCAAACCCAUAAAAGUUGUUGUAUAAAGUGUAAACUCAUUGUUUAGAGUCUGGUAAGUAAAUCAGCUUGUAUAGAACUCUUUGUACUCUGUUUUCUCAUUUCUAAA